UACAGGGGGGGCAAGCGUUGUUCGGAAUUACUGGGCGUAAAGGGUUCGUAGGUGGCUCACUAAGUCACACGUGAAAUCCCUCAGCUUAACUGGGGAACUGCGUGUGAAACUGGAGAGCUUGAGGGUAGGAGAGGAAUGCGGAAUUCCAGGUGUAGCGGUGAAAUGCGUAGAUAUCUGGAGGAACACCGGUGGCGAAGGCGGCAUUCUGGACUAAUUCUGACACUGAUGAACGAAAGCCAGGGGAGCAAACGGG
Molecule: ribosomal RNA, 253 nt
Filed under: uncultured bacterium
Lineage: Bacteria
Description: partial 16S ribosomal RNA
Rfam family: Bacterial small subunit ribosomal RNA
Source: RNAcentral